GAUGAACGCUGGCGGCGUGCCUAAUACAUGCAAGUCGAGCGAACAGACGAGGAGCUUGCUCCUCUGACGUUAGCGGCGGACGGGUGAGUAACACGUGGAUAACCUACCUAUAAGACUGGGAUAACUUCGGGAAACCGGAGCUAAUACCGGAUAACAUGUUGAACCGCAUGGUUCAACAGUGAAAGACGGUCUUGCUGUCACUUAUAGAUGGAUCCGCGCCGCAUUAGCUAGUUGGUAAGGUAACGGCUUACCAAGGCAACGAUGCGUAGCCGACCUGAGAGGGUGAUCGGCCACACUGGAACUGAGACACGGUCCAGACUCCUACGGGAGGCAGCAGUAGGGAAUCUUCCGCAAUGGGCGAAAGCCUGACGGAGCAACGCCGCGGGAGUGAAGAAGGUCUUCGGAUCGUAAAACUCUGUUAUUAGGGAAGAACAAAUGUGUAAGUAACGAUGCACGUCUUGACGGUACCUAAGCAGAAAGCCACGGCUAACUACGU
This 496-nucleotide ribosomal RNA is filed under the name uncultured bacterium. Its description in RNAcentral is "partial 16S ribosomal RNA". It matches the Rfam family "Bacterial small subunit ribosomal RNA", at positions 28 to 506 of the family's 1533-position model. The record is from RNAcentral.